GUGAGUCAUCGAAUCUUUGAACGCACCUUGCGCUCCUUGGUAUUCCGAGGAGCAUGCCUGUUUGAGUGUCGUGGAGACGUCGGGCCCUCACUUCCUUUGCUGGAGUGGGCUCGGAUUGGAUGCGCCUGCGGUCCUGAAAGGCCCGCUCGUCUUUAAAUGCAUUAGUACUGGUCAGGUCCAAGCGACGGUGUGAUAAACGUAUGCUUAGUGCGCCGUUCGUUGUCUGGCCCGGGUCGCUUACAGUCGUCUUCGGACAAGCCUUCUUUCAACGUCAUAUUGACCUCAAAUCAGGCAGGACUACCCGCUGAACUUAAGCAUAUCAAUAAGGCGAGG
RNAcentral lists this ribosomal RNA (333 nucleotides) under uncultured fungus. Its description in RNAcentral is "eukaryotic LSU rRNA". The stretch from base 1 to 71 matches the Rfam family "5.8S ribosomal RNA", at positions 84 to 154 of the family's 154-position model. Lineage: Eukaryota; Fungi. The record is from RNAcentral.